UACGAAGGGGGCUAGCGUUGCUCGGAUUGACUGGGCGUAAAGGGCGCGUAGGCGGUUCGUACAGUCAGACGUGAAAUUCCUGGGCUCAACCUGGGGGCUGCGUUUGAUACGUGCGGACUUGAGUGCGGAAGAGGGUCGUGGAAUUCCCAGUGUAGAGGUGAAAUUCGUAGAUAUUGGGAAGAACACCGGUGGCGAAGGCGGCCAUCUGGACCGCAACUGACGCUGAGGCGCGAAAGCGUGGGGAGCAAACAGG
Molecule: ribosomal RNA, 253 nt
Filed under: uncultured bacterium
Lineage: Bacteria
Description: partial 16S ribosomal RNA
Rfam family: Bacterial small subunit ribosomal RNA
Source: RNAcentral